This is a long non-coding RNA of Apodemus sylvaticus (European woodmouse), 2602 nucleotides long. RefSeq lists it as uncharacterized. NCBI's taxonomy places the organism in Eukaryota, Metazoa, Chordata, Mammalia, Rodentia, Muridae. The record is from RefSeq and is a predicted model, not a curated record. The transcript is spliced from 4 exons.
CGGAAGCUAUGGCAUUAGAGCCACUCCCCUCUGCACUGUCAACAGGGAUCCACCUGGAUUACAGGCACCUCCUUGUGAUAGCUGCUCAACUGGGUAACCCCAGAGCCACAGUGGGAACACAGUACAUACCCACCAGGACCCCUUGGGAGACAAGAGGCCCACAGAACAGAGUGCAGCAGGGAGAUCACUACCAGUCCUUGCCUCUGUUGUACACACAGAAACCUCUGGAGCAGGACAUCUCUAGACACAACUAACUCCAAAAAAGGAAUUGCCUGUGGCAGGUUCUUCUGCAACUAUCAAGAGCUGGCGAGAAAAAGUGUCAUCUUUCUACCCACUCAAGAGCUCUUGCGUGGCUCGCAGUGCCCUGAGGCUUGAAGACAUUGGUCAUGCUGGAAAUCCCAGUGAAGAAGGGGGAAGAACACACUAGAAGGCUGCCGGGGAAGUGCUUCUACCACAGAAACUUCAGUGAAUGUGACGAGACUCCUCAGUCUUCAGGAUCCCAAUGGGUGUAAACCUCCAUUAUAAGUCUCUUGUGGAGGAAAAGUGGAGACCAGGAAUAGAAAUUGUGCUUAGAAAAAAUGACAGCGAGGAUGUAAGACUUUGCAUGUGAAGCCAGGGGAAACGAAACAGAGCUAUCCGGGCCACAGAAACUAGCAGUGCUGGCUAGCUGCGUCACUUCCUGGAAACAUGCUUCUGUUCUUAGCCCUGGAGCUCAUGGUGAAAGUGCAUUACCAGAACCUGAGCAGGAGUAAACAGCAGACAAACUCAAGCUGAAUAGCUCUGUGGAACAAGCAGCCUGAACUUCAGACAAGCAAACCAGCAAAGUCACACAAGGCAAAGGAAUGUCAAGGAAUUACCCAGAUGAAAGAAACCAAGCAGAACUCAGGGAAGUGCCGUGUAUGGUCCUGGACUGGAGAAGAUUCUUAGUGCUGAGCAGCAUCUGGCUUUACCUGACAAAGGAUGGAUGUUCAGUCCAUGUGUGAAAGGUCUAGAGGAAUGAAAAAGACCGGACCAUGACACAGAAAGAAUGUUCUGGAAGAGAAGACGGAUGGGCAAGAGGGUAAAACAGGAAGUUUGCCGGAGAAAUUUAUUUCUCACAGCUCUGGAAGCUAGGAAUUCUGAAAUCAAAGGGCCCACAUAUUUGGACUUCUACCUAUUAUAACAUGAAAAAAAAAAAAGCAAAAAACUGAGGCAGGGAGAAUCAGGUAGAAUCCCAGUAAUAACUAACUUUCUUCCUUGAAAAUAGACCAGGCCCAUUCAUGAUGGUGGUACCCUCACAAUCUAAUCACCUAUUAAAGAUUCCACCUCCCAGUAUCUUCACAGCAGCAAGUACAUCUAAAAUGAGCUUUCGAGGGAACAUCCAAACCACAGCAGCCUAUGUGCCAGCCAUGUACUGAUCCCUGGGGAUGCAGUAAUGAGCGGAGCCACGUCGCCCAGGAGAUGCUCACCAUCCGUCAGGAUAGAGACCUAAGACCACAGUGGCACCAUUGGUAAAGCCAUUUCCCAGUGAGGAGACAGCUGAAGUGCACCAGGGGCACAGAGGAAUCAUCAGCCUUCUGCUAGAAGUGUGUUUUGGUGAAGGCACAAAGUGACCCAGGAAAUAAUGAGGGACUCCUCAACCAUACACAUUCAUUUACUCCACAGCUUAUCUAGCAUCUUCUCUGCACUAAGCUCUGUGUUGAGCUUGAAAGCAGAGCUAUACACAAUCCUUGCCCUCAUAUCAUUUGUAGACAGAAGCCAUUAGCUGCAUAAAUACAUGCACAAAUGCAAAACUAAACCGGAAAACAGCUAGAGAUGAAAAAAAGCAAAAUAGAUGUUUGAGUUACAGAGUGUGACCGGCACACAAGGUUACCUACUUAUAAGAUAUAAUACUUAUGGUGGUUUGAAUAUGCUUGGCCCAGGGAGUGGCGCUGUUAUAAGGUGUGGCCUCGUUGGAGUAGGUGUGGCCUUGUUGAAGGAAGUGUGUCACUGUGGUGGUGGGCAAUGAGACCCUCCUCCUAUCUAUAUGGGAGCCAGUCUUCAACUAGCAGCCUUCAGAUGAAGAUGAAGAACUCUCAGCUCCUUCUGCACCAUGCCUGUCUGGACACUGCCAUGUUCCCAUCUUGAUGAUAAUGAACUGAACUUCUGAACCUGUAAGCCAGCCCCAGUUAAAUGCUAACCUUAUAAGAGUAGCCUUGGUCAUGGUGUCUGUUUACAGCAGUAAAACUCUAAGGCAAUACUAUAUCCCCUUCCUCUGAACAGACAAAAAGAAAGUAUUUGCUAUCUGUACUGGCUGGUUUUGUGUGUCAACUUGACACAGGCUGGAGUUAUCACAGAGAAAGGAGUUUCAGUUGGGGAAGUGCCUCCAUGAGAUCCAACUUUGAGGCAUUUUCUCAAUUAGGGAUCAAGGGGGAGGUCCCCUUAUGGGUGGUACCAUCCCUGGGCUGGUGCUCUUGGGUUCUAUAAGAAAGCAAGCUGAGCAAGCCAGGGGAAGCAAGCCAGUAAGGAACAUCCCUCCAUGGCCUCUGCAUCAACUCCUGCUUCCAACCCUGCUUGAGUUCCAGUCCUGACUUCCUUUUGUGAUGAACAGCAAUGCAGAAGUGUAAGCUGAAUAAACCCUUUC